AGCGAGUCUGAAUAGGGCGUUUAGUAUUUGGUCGUAGACCCGAAACCAGGUGAUCUACCCUUGGUCAGGUUGAAGUUCAGGUAACACUGAAUGGAGGACCGAACCGACUUACGUUGAAAAGUGAGCGGAUGAACUGAGGGUAGCGGAGAAAUUCCAAUCGAACCUGGAGAUAGCUGGUUCUCUCCGAAAUAGCUUUAGGGCUAGCCUCAAGUGAUGAUUAUUGGAGGUAGAGCACUGUUUGGACGAGGGGCCCCUCUCGGGUUACCGAA
Molecule: ribosomal RNA, 269 nt
Filed under: Vibrio cholerae
Lineage: Bacteria; Pseudomonadati; Pseudomonadota; Gammaproteobacteria; Vibrionales; Vibrionaceae
Description: partial 23S ribosomal RNA
Rfam family: Bacterial large subunit ribosomal RNA
Source: RNAcentral